CUAGCAUAUCAAUAAGCGGAGGAAAAGAAACCAACAGGGAUUGCCCUAGUAACGGCGAGUGAAGCGGCAACAGCUCAAAUUUGAAAUCUGGCGUCUUUGGCGUCCGAGUUGUAAUUUGCAGAGGGCGCUUUGGCAUUGGCAGCGGUCCAAGUUCCUUGGAACAGGACGUCACAGAGGGUGAGAAUCCCGUACGUGGUCGCUAGCCUUUACCGUGUAAAGCCCCUUCGACGAGUCGAGUUGUUUGGGAAUGCAGCUCUAAAUGGGAGGUAAAUUUCUUCUAAAGCUAAAUACUGGCCAGAGACCGAUAGCGCACAAGUAGAGUGAUCGAAAGAUGAAAAGCACUUUGGAAAGAGAGUUAAAAAGCACGUGAAAUUGUUGAAAGGGAAGCGCUUGCAGCCAGACUUGCCUGUAGUUGCUCAUCCGGGUUUUUACCCGGUGCACUCUUCUAUAGGCAGGCCAGCAUCAGUUUGGGCGGUUGGAUAAAGGUCUCUGUCACGUACCUCCUCUCGGGGAGAACUUAUAGGGGAGACGUAAUGCAACCAGCCUGGACUGAGGUCCGCGCAUCUGCUAGGAUGCUGGCGUAAUGGCUGUAAGCGGCCCGUCUUGAAACACGGACCAAGGAGUCUAACAUCUAUGCGAGUGUUUGGGUGUCAAGCCCGAGCGCGUAAUGAAAGUGAACGGAGGUGGGAACCUUUCGGGGUGCACCAUCGACCGAUCCUGAUGUCUUCGGAUGGAUUUGAGUAAGAGCAUAGCUGUUGGGACCCGAAAGAUGGUGAACUAUGCUUGAAUAGGGUGAAGCCAGAGGAAACUCUGGUGGAGGCUCGCAGCGGUUCUGACGUGCAAAUCGAUCGUCAAAUUUGGGCAUAGGGGCGAAAGACUAAUCGAACUAUCUAGUAGCUGGUUCCUGCCAAGUCUCU
RNAcentral lists this ribosomal RNA (917 nucleotides) under Boeremia wisteriae. Its description in RNAcentral is "partial large subunit ribosomal RNA". It matches the Rfam family "Eukaryotic large subunit ribosomal RNA", at positions 34 to 971 of the family's 3401-position model. Lineage: Eukaryota; Fungi; Ascomycota; Dothideomycetes; Pleosporales; Didymellaceae. The record is from RNAcentral.